Pteropus alecto (black flying fox) is the source of this 2096-nucleotide long non-coding RNA. RefSeq lists it as uncharacterized. The record is from RefSeq and is a predicted model, not a curated record. The transcript is spliced from 2 exons. NCBI's taxonomy places the organism in Eukaryota, Metazoa, Chordata, Mammalia, Chiroptera, Pteropodidae.
CGGCUGGGGAAGGGAGGGUUGGGGCACUGCCUGAUCCUUUCAGAAGCAUGACGUCCGGCUGGGUCUGGGGGCUUGGGCCGGGAGUCCGGCCUUUGGACGACCUCCUUUAGGUGGGGGCUGCCAGGCCUGAGCGGGGAGGACAGCUGGACUCGGGCCGAACGGCCUGAGGUCACCUGAGUUGCGAGACACCGCAGCGCUGCGCGCGUUGUCGCAGAGGAAGGACACGUCAGGCCGGCCUCUGCUCUGGGGAGAGGAAGGAAAAGUCCAGGGACAGCCUGAGAGGGAAUACGCAGCGGACUGGUAGUGGCUGUCAUUGCUCACUGCUCUCCUGGCAGCCAGAUGUUUAGCGGACCAGGGUCGACUUGACUGGCAAAGAACUCUUCUUGCUUCCUUUCGUUCUGGCACUUCUCCAUAUUGUUUAGUUGGUGAUCUUGCUUGAAAGAAGAAAUACCUUAGUGACGAGAGCAGGUUUAGUUAGGAUUGUGCCCCACGAAUAUUUGGAUAAUUUUUUACAACAGUGCCCAUUUUUAUAAUUCUGUAAUAAACUUUAUUUCUGUUUUCCUCACAUUUGAGGAGGGAGUGAAACUGUGAGCGGAAUCAUUGUAAUUAAUUGAGAGAGACCAAUGAAAGCAGCUGUUAUUGUAUAAAAAAUAAUAAAAAAAACACCUUUUUGUGGAUAUACUUUGAAUUAGUUAUACUAUAGAUAAUUGAACACGAAGUAGAAAAAGGUAUUUAUUAGGUUCCUGAAAGUAAAAAAGCCAUCAUGGAAAAUGAGGUUAUUUCUAAGUCAGAAUUGCUAUGGAGUGAUGAUCACUGAACUGUUUGGUAUGCCUUCAAUUCAAAAGAUUAAAAAGAAGCUGGCACAAAAAUUUAUGAUCUAAUGGUGUUUUAAAAUAAUCUCUUAAAGCAUCAGGGUUCCUAAGAUUAAAGAUUCUUAACUCAAGGACCUUUUCACGUAUUAAUCUCUCCAUUUCACAUGUCACAUGAGGAAAUAAGAUGUACAUAGUUUUAGAGACUAAUCGACUUUGGAUCACCCCUAGUAUCUAUUCAGUACGUAUUGUAUGCAAGGCAAUACCGUGGUGUGGACCUCAGUAUCGCUAAGGUAUGAGACUUAUUCUAAUGGGCCUAUAAUUUAGUUGUGGAAUAAAGGGCACACAGAGAAAUGGUAACUAAAGAUAUGGUUUCUAGAAUUCUGAGACAGUAGGUACUAUGAGAAUGCAGGAAAAGGGUCGAGUUGAGCCAUGAAAGUGUAGGUAUGAAUGAAUGACGGAGAAGAAGUGAGGAAAUAAGAAAGCAAGAAUGGUAAAGGUGGCAUGGGAGAACCUGAAAUGCCCACUUAUUGGAAAAAGUGGGGAGAUAAGGUUGUACAAAAAAGAUAGAUUGAUGGCAUCAAAUCAAGAAGUAGCUUUGUCCCAGGUGAAGCAAGGGAUAACAAGUAGUAACUGUAUUUACUUCAGAUGAAGCUGGAGCCAGCCAUUAGAAAAGAUGUACAGCCUUGUUACUUUUCUCAGCCACCCAGGAUUCAUACCUCAAGAUCCAUUAUUGCCUUUCUUUUUUUCACCCUCUGGGUUCAGCUGGUUGCCAGGUCUUGUUGAUACUGUCUCUGUACUCUUUCUUGUAUCUGCUUCCUUUUCUUACUGUCAUCACACUGAUUUGGGGCCUUUGAUAUACCAAUCUCUUGAAUUAUUGCAGAAACCCCUAACAUUUUUUUUCUUUCCUCCCAUUUGUCUUGUCUACUACUAUCACUUUUAGAUAUCUCACUUCCCCAGCCAAGACUUAAUGACUCCCCACUGUCUGUUGAAUUAAGCAAAGACCAGCCUCGCAUGGGCACUAUGGAUGAGACUUGUCUCUCGUUUAAACCAUGAUAACACCAGAGUCUACCUUUUUGCUACAAUUGCCAACAUAAGACUAAAACUUUUUCAAGACAUGGACUAUCUUCUUCAUCAUCUAGCACAGUGUUUUGUACACAGUAGGUGCUUGGCAAAUAUAUUUUAUAUUGAACAUAGCUUUGAACCAGGAUGGCUGCAAAGAAAAUUCUUUGUGCAAACAAAAUAUUCAUUGCAAAAUCUGUAAAUAAAGUUACUUAUGUGAAAGAA